AUGUGCUGCCUUUGAGCCUCUGGUGCCCUUCCUGGUGACACCUGGGGUUAAGCUGCAGCACCAUAGCAAUUGUUAGAGCCUAACUGGGACUGCCUGCCCAUCACCAGCAGCCCUUUUAACUGCUAGCUACAGGC
This is a small nucleolar RNA of Cricetulus griseus (Chinese hamster), 134 nucleotides long. The record is from Ensembl. Lineage: Eukaryota; Metazoa; Chordata; Mammalia; Rodentia; Cricetidae.